GAUGAAGAACGUAGCGAAAUGCGAUACUUGGUGUGAAUUGCAGAAUCCCGCGAAUCAUCGAGUUUUUGAACGCAAGUUGCGCCCGAAGCCAUUCGGCCGAGGGCACGUCUGCCUGGGUGUCACGCAUCGUUGCCCCCCCAAACUCCGGUUCGGGCAGGGCGGAAGUUGGCCUCCCGUGCGUGCCUGCGCGCGCGGUUAGCCCAAAAGCGAGUCCUCGGCGACGAGCGCCACGACAAUCGGUGGUUUUUUUCCCCUCGUUCCUCGUCGUGCGUGCCCCGUCGCCCGAACGCGCUCUUGCGACCCUUACGCGUCGCCUCGGCGGCGCUCCCAACGCGACCCCAGGUCAGGCGGGACUACCCGCUGAGUUUAAGCAUAUCAAUAAGCGGAGGA
Molecule: unclassified non-coding RNA, 390 nt
Filed under: soil metagenome
Description: partial contains 5.8S ribosomal RNA, internal transcribed spacer 2, and large subunit ribosomal RNA
Rfam family: 5.8S ribosomal RNA (bases 1-122)
Source: RNAcentral